ACUUAUCGGACUGGAAUCCGGGUCUGGUAUCCGGGCCCGCGUCCGCACGGUCUCGGACAGGCGGGUGGAUGGGAGUCCGGUUCCGGGCCUGACUGGGACCUGUGUGGUGCCGGCUGCGGGGUGUGCAGGGCGUCACGCCGCGGUGCCUUUGGUUGGAUGGAUUUGCCGGGGGAGACGCGGCGCUGAGCCUGCCCGCGCCGUUGCUUUCCCAGUCCCAGCCCUGGGCCCCAUUUCCAGCCCACCUUCGCCCCCGUGCGGGCCCCCAGCCCCUUCAAGUCCACUUUCAACUGCCUCUCCUCCUCCCCACCCCACUUACGUCAGGUCGCUGUGGUUCCCCUCCGACCUGGCAGAGCUGCGGGAGCUCUCUGAGGUCCUUCGAGAGUACCGGAAGGAGCACCAGGCCUACGUGUUCCUGCUCUUCUGCAGCGCCUACCUCUACAAACAGGGCUUUGCCAUCCCCGGCUCCAGCUUCCUGAAUGUUUUAGCUGGUGCCUUGUUUGGGCCAUGGCUGGGGCUUCUGCUGUGCUGUGUGUUGACCUCAGUGGGUGCCACAUGCUGCUACC
Molecule: small RNA, 563 nt
Filed under: Pongo abelii (Sumatran orangutan)
Lineage: Eukaryota; Metazoa; Chordata; Mammalia; Primates; Hominidae
Description: processed transcript
Source: RNAcentral